Non-coding RNA from Amphiprion ocellaris (clown anemonefish), 374 nucleotides. NCBI's taxonomy places the organism in Eukaryota, Metazoa, Chordata, Actinopteri, Pomacentridae. The record is from the annotation of a RefSeq genome assembly.
CACAGUUUAACAUGAUGGACUUGAGGACACCAUUGUUGAUUCUGACCAUUUUGUGGGCAGGUGUUGAUGGUCAGACUCUGACUCAAUCUGAAUCAGUCAUUAAAAGACCUGGAGAAUCCCACAAACUGACCUGUACAGGUUCUGGAUAUACCUUUGGUGACCACAGCAUGGACUGGGUCAGACAGGCUCCUGGAAAAGGACUGGAGUGGGUUGCUUAUAUCAGAUAUGACAGUGCUAACAUCUACUACUCUCAGUCAGUUCAAGGCAGGUUCACCAUCUCCAGAGACAACACCUUACAGCAGGUGUAUCUGCAGAUGAACAGUCUGAAGACUGAAGAUUCUGCUGUUUAUUAUUGUGCUCGACACCCACAGUGA